RNAcentral lists this ribosomal RNA (1465 nucleotides) under metagenome. RNAcentral describes it as "bacterial LSU rRNA". It matches the Rfam family "Bacterial large subunit ribosomal RNA", at positions 1434 to 2925 of the family's 2925-position model. The record is from RNAcentral.
AUUUCCUGUACUAUGAUAUGACAGAACUGUGGGGACACGUGCAGAGAGCGGAAGCCGGGAAUGGGAUCCCGGUGCAAGCGAGGUACCAGCCGCAUUGGAAAAACCGUGCGGCAAUGGGAAGACGUGAUGCGGAGUGAAGUUUAGUAAUGAAGUCCGUGAGCUGUGCGUCAAGAAAAGCCGCUAUUGUUCAUACCAUACCCGUACCGUAAACCGACACAGGUGGAUGAGGAGAGAAUCCUAAGGCCGGCGGAAGAAGCAUUGUCAAGGAACUCGGCAAAAUGACCCCGUAACUUCGGGAGAAGGGGUGCCUGCGAGAGCAGGCCGCAGAGAAUAGGCUCAAGCAACUGUUUAGCAAAAACACAGGUCUAUGCGAAACCGAAAGGUGAGGUAUAUGGGCUGACGCCUGCCCGGUGCUGGAAGGUUAAGAGGAGAGGUUAGCGCAAGCGAAGCUUUGAAUUUAAGCCCCAGUAAACGGCGGCCGUAACGAUAACGGUCCUAAGGUAGCGAAAUUCCUUGUCGGGUAAGUUCCGACCCGCACGAAAGGCGUAAUGAUUUGAGCGCUGUCUCGACAAUGCAUCCGGUGAAAUUGAAGUACCAGUGAAGAUGCUGGUUACCUGCGCCAGGACGGAAAGACCCCAUGGAGCUUUACUCCAGUUUGGUACUGGGAUCCGGUACUGCAUGUACAGGAUAGGUGGGAGGCUAUGAAUCGGUAACGCCAGUUGCCGAGGAGCCGCUGUUGGGAUACCACCCUUGCAGUAUUGGGUUUCUAACCAGCCGCCGUGACCCGGCGGUGGGACAAUGCCAGACGGGGAGUUUGACUGGGGCGGUCGCCUCCGAAAGGGUAUCGGAGGCGCCCAAAGGUUCCCUCAGGAUGGACGGAAACCAUCCAAAGAGUGCAAAGGCAGAAGGGAGCUUGACUGCGACACCGACGGGUGGAGCAGGUACGAAAGUAGGGCUUAGUGAUCCGGUGGUAUUAAGUGGGAAUGCCAUCGCUCAACGGAUAAAAGCUACCAUGGGAUAACAGGCUUAUCACUCCCAAGAGUUCACAUCGACGGAGUGGUUUGGCACCUCGAUGUCGGCUCAUCGCAUCCUGGGGCUGUAGUAGGUCCCAAGGGUUGGGCUGUUCGCCCAUUAAAGCGGUACGCGAGCUGGGUUCAGAACGUCGUGAGACAGUUCGGUCCCUAUCCGGCGUGGGCGUAGGAUAUCUGAGAGGAGCUGUCCUUAGUACGAGAGGACCGGGAUGGACGGGCCGCUGGUGCACCGGUUAGACUGCCAAGUCUAUAGCCGGGUAGCCAAGCCCGGAAGGGAUAAACGCUGAAGGCAUCUAAGCGUGAAGCCCCCCUCAAGAUGAGAUAUCCCAUCCGAAAGGAGUAAACCCCCUUGAAGACGACGAGGUCGAUAGGGCAGAGGUGGAAGUGUGGUAACACAUGGAGCUGACUGCUACUAAUAGGGUGAGGGCUUGACC